This 3956-nucleotide long non-coding RNA is filed under the name Fragaria vesca (wild strawberry). Its description in RNAcentral is "long non-coding RNA (FVES_LNC003076)". The record is from RNAcentral. Lineage: Eukaryota; Viridiplantae; Streptophyta; Magnoliopsida; Rosales; Rosaceae.
GGAUUUACAGUUUCUUUAUGAUGCAUGAAUUCUUAGUCACCAUUUGAAUUGAUGCUUUAUGUUUAAGUUCUUUGAUUGAUCACCUUAGGGCUUUUGCAUCUACUAAUUAGAAGGUGAAUUUGAGGCGUAUAUAAUUCAAAUUAGCUUCUUGUGAUUAAGAGUUUUGAAUUAUAUUGUUUUCGUACCUGAAGUAAUGAUUUACAUAGUUCUCUUGUUUUCUAGAACGUAACGAGUCAUGUCUAUUAAAUUUAUGCCGUACUGCAUAUGCUAGGAUAUACGACCUCUGUCGUAUGUGGAGAGAAUCAUGCAUUUAAAGAAAACUAUGGUCUAAGUGUCGUACCUAGACUUAGAUACAAGAAUUGUCAUAAAGAGAAACAACAUUAAGAGAAAUGAAAGUGUCUGUUAGUUGCAUUAUAUAUAAAUAAGAUUGUUAGUGAUUGAUUCUGAUACUCUAGGUUCUACCAUCUUUUGUUUCUCAACUUAUUUUCUUGUGUAUUUCUUUAUAUAGUUCAUUGCGAUCUUGUGUUCUAAGUUUCAAUUAAUUGAGUUAGAAUAUAAAUUAUAUCAAUCCUCAGUUAAUUAAUUAUCAGUUAGAACGAACUUGUUCUUGCACACUAUAUAUACUGACAAUUUGUGCGCUUGCAAGUUUUAAUUAAAAUUUCACAACAAAUGGUCUAGGAUAAUUUAGGGUUUGUGGAACAGGUGGAUAAGUUUGGCAUCAAACGUGGAACCCAAACUAUAGGGUUUUGGUUCUCCACAAAAUCUGUGAUCCGGUACAAGAGGCUUUCUUUGAGGUACCAUUGAAUUCGGCGAUGCAAGGUUUCUGGCUAAGCUUCGCUUCAAGUACGAUCAGACGAUGGGUUUUAGCCGUAUUUGUGGCAUGCUGAAUGUUGAUAUAUUGGCUAUUACUAUUCAACUCCAAGAACUCCUAAUGACACUAGGAAAGGAAGCAAUCAUGACAGCAGCUUGAUCAAAGGUAUUUUGCUUGCUGUAUAGAUAUUUGGUAAGUUAAGGUAAUGAUCUUCAAUCUUCUCAUAUAUGGUAAGUUAAUCUCUUUUUAACUUAUUUAUUUGCUUACUGAUUUUCUGGUAAACAAACUUAUGUCUAGCAUUUUCCAUAUCAGUACUUUUUACAGAGAACAUUCGCAGGAUGUGGGAUUACUUUACCAUAUCUGAUUUGGUGCUAUUACAAAUCAGGAAUAUCAGAAUUAUUAUCUGCAUUAAUCUUGUGCUGUUAAAAUCAUAUCUNNNNNNNNNNNNNNNNNNNNGUUUCAUGUGGAAUUCGAUAUACUUGUGAUACUAAUGCAGAAAUUGUUGGUUAUUCAGAUGCUGAUUGGGGGAGGAAGUCUUAAAGAUAGCAAGAGCACCUCAGGUGGAUGUUUCUUCUUGGGAAACAAUAUGAUUGCCUGGCACAGUAAAAAGCAAAAUUGUAUUUCCUUAUCCACAACUGAGUCAGAAUAUGUAGCUGCUGGCAGCUGCUGUACUCAAAUGUUGUGGAUGCAGAAUAUGCUGAGGGACUAUGGGAUGUCACAAGGUAAAUUCACCAUUCUAUGUGAUAACACUAGUGCCAUCAACAUCACAAAAAAUCCAGUACAACACUCCAAAACUAAGCACAUUGCUAUCAGGUAUCAUUUUAUCAGAGAUCUAGUUGAGAAAAAUAUUCUGCACAUGGAGUAUAUAUCUACUGCUAAUCAACUUGCUGAUAUUUUCACUAAAUCUCUUGCCACUGAUAGAUUUGAAGAACUUAGAAAUGCUUUAGGCAUUUGCAAAAAUCCUUAUCUUUAAGUCUUAACUCUUGAAAUGGUUCUUAAAUUAUCUGUACAGAAUGUUUGUGAUCAUUGAUCUUAGCUUUAUGUUGUGUAGAAAUUAACUGGUUGUUUAUUUUUAAACAUGGUAUGAGUCUGGUUCAUAUUCUUGCUGUCUGUAUGCCUUAUUCAGUAAUAUUAUUGUGCUGCCAGCACACACACACAAUGGACAUGAUUUUCUCAGGUAUAGGAAACAACAAAUUGAAAAAAAAAAAAAAAAAAAAAAAAAACAAUAUCAAAAGCGUGUGAUAAAAAGUUGAUUGUUUGCAGAAUUCUUGCGGCCUCUUUAAAGAGGUGAUGUGCAUGGAGGUUGAUCUCAGCUGGUUUGGCUAAACUGAUCAAACACUUGAGUAUUGAUGCCUUGGGAUAUCUCUUGAAUAUCUAGUACCCUAAAAUCAACUGAUUUGGGAGUUGCUGCAUUUGACUUACUCUAUAAGUGUUCAUAUUUUUAGAGAUAAAAACAGAAAAAUCUCUUUCAGGCCAAGUUAUUCCUAAAGUAACCAUGUCUUGGUUGUGAUGAACAAUAUAAGAUACUGGGGGAGAAACAGGAAUGGCUUGGUCAAUUAAUAUUGUUUGGUUGGUAUCAACAAAGUUGGUUGUUGUAAAGAACUAAGAAUCCUUUCUGCAGAAACUCAUGUCCAUUUUAUCUGUCACUUGGCAUCCAUUCUUUAUUCUGCUAAGGCACACAGGGAUACAGUGUUUGAUAGUCUCAUCUGUGUUUAGAUCUGCACAAACAGAUAUUUUCUUCUACCUCAUUGUGUGCUUUGCCUUGAUUGUUUUCUUCUUUACUGAUACGAGGAGAUUCAGAGUUAGUCUACCAAGAUUCCAGUAAGAGAUUUGCAUAUGUCUUUUCGUUUUUCUGGCUUUUUCAAAUUUUGUCAUUAUGUGCUUAUGGGAUUUGAUUUGGAAAAUAUUUUAUUUUGGUAGUUAAUUUUAUUCAUAAAGUCCAUUGAUCAUGCUUGCCUUUACAGGAACCAUCAUUCCUUUUCAACUUCUGUGUUCAUUCCUUAUAAAAGGGUGCAGCUACAGUCUUUCUUUCCACACACAAUUGCUUCACUAGGGUUUUCUAGUUUUUGUGUGCAGCUAUUCUUCCGUUUCUCAGAUGGCAAAGGACAAACAGACAAUGCUUCCUAAUCUUUCUCCAGAUCGGGUCGGCAGUCCAGUGAUUCCACCAUCUCCUCUUGCUGACUUUUCAUCUCCCCCUCCUUCUCCAAGACUUCAUCCAGAGUUUCACAAAGCCAAGACCUUCCCUGGUACUUGGUAUGAAGGCAAACCAUGGCGUCCUAUGGUGCCCCUAGCCAAUGAUUGUGAUCCUGACCAGAUAGCAGUUUAUCUUGCUUCCUUGGAAAAGGUCACUAGUGACUGGGCGCAAGACAUUCAAACACAGAUUGGUGCUCUCACUGAAGCGGUGCUUAUCAUGGGAAGGAGAAUCGAUGACCUCACUCAACGUCUUCCUCAUCCUGCUGCCUCUGAUGUUCCACCAGGCUUUCAACCAAAGGCUUCCUCUACUGACCCUUCCGGUGUCAAGCGUUCUCUGGACUUCAUGCAGGAUGCUGCGGCUGCUGCACCCUCUUCCAAGAAACCUUUUAAUCCUUGGGAGCCCGAUGAAAAGAAGAGCUCUUCAGAUGAUGAUAAAUGGGGCAAAUGGUAGUCAUUCCUUUGGCAUGCUCUUCAGGGGGAGAACGAUCAAGACCUUUUUUCUGCCAUGAUUAUUUUUACUGGUUUUUGUUUACUGAACUUUAAGAUUUAUUUUGAACAAUGUUUCAGUCCUUGGUUUGUAAGUGCUUAUGCACAACAUUGUGUGAUUUGUUUCCAUUUAUCUUAUUCUUUUUGAGUUAUCAGUAUAUGGAGUUCUUGGAGAUCUGGAAAAGGAUGGAAACUGAUUCCGUACGACCUGCGAGAUCUGUUAUCAAGACAUGCGCAUGUUAACUUUUGUUUUGCAGGUCUUGAUCAAGUGUUGAAUAGCAAUGCCAAAGGGGGAGAAUGUUGAUAUAUUGGCUAUUACUAUUCAACUCCAAGAACUCCUAAUGACACUAGGAAAGGAAGCAAUCAUGACAGCAGCUUGAUCAAAGGUAUUUUGCUUGCUGUAUAGAUAUUUGGUAAGUUAAGGUAAUGAUCUUCAAUCUUCUCAUAUAUGGUAAGUUAAUCUCUU